AACGCUGGCGGCGUGCCUAACACAUGCAAGUCGAACGAAGCACUGCAGACGGAGAUUCGUCGAAGCCUGCUUUGACUGAGUGGCGGACGGGUGAGUAACGCGUGGGUAACCUGCCUUGUACAGGGGGAUAACAGUUGGAAACGGCUGCUAAUACCGCAUAAGCGCACGGUAUCGCAUGAUGCAGUGUGAAAAACUCUGGUGGUAUAAGAUGGACCCGCGUUGGAUUAGCUAGUUGGUGAGGUAACGGCCCACCAAGGCGACGAUCCAUAGCCGACCUGAGAGGGUGACCGGCCACAUUGGGACUGAGACACGGCCCAAACUCCUACGGGAGGCAGCAGUGAGGAAUAUUGGUCAAUGGGCGGAAGCCUGAACCAGCCAAGUAGCGUGAGGGAUGACUGCCCUAUGGGUUGUAAACCUCUUUUAUAAGGGAAUAAAAUACGGGACGUGUCCUGUUUUGCAUGUACCUUAUGAAUAAGGACCGGCUAAUUCCGUG
Molecule: ribosomal RNA, 493 nt
Filed under: uncultured bacterium
Lineage: Bacteria
Description: bacterial SSU rRNA
Rfam family: Bacterial small subunit ribosomal RNA
Source: RNAcentral